This 490-nucleotide ribosomal RNA is filed under the name uncultured bacterium. RNAcentral describes it as "bacterial SSU rRNA". It matches the Rfam family "Bacterial small subunit ribosomal RNA", at positions 28 to 512 of the family's 1533-position model. The record is from RNAcentral.
GAUGAACGCUAGCGGCAGGCUUAACACAUGCAAGUCGAGGGGUAACAGGGGUAGCAAUACCUGCUGACGACCGGCAAACGGGUGCGGAACACGUACAGAAUCUACCUUGAUCUGGGGCAUAGCCCGGAGAAAUCCGGAUUAACUCCCCAUAACAUAAGAGAGUGGCAUCACUCAUUUAUUAAAAAUUUAUUGGAUCGAGAUGACUGUGCGUCCCAUUAGCUAGUUGGAGGGUAACGGCCUACCAAGGCGACGAUGGGUAGCUGGUGUGAGAGCACGACCAGCCACACGGGCACUGAGACACGGGCCCGACUCCUACGGGGAGGCAGCAGUGAGGAAUAUUGGUCAAUGGACGCAAGUCUGAACCAGCCAUGCCGCGUGAAGGAUGAAGGCCUUCUGGGUUGUAAACUUCUUUUACCUGGGAAGAAACCUCUAGUUUUCUAACUGAGUUGACGGUACCAGAGGAAUAAGCACCGGCUAACUCCGUGCCAGC